GCGCUGGCAGGAGGAGCGGCUUGCGAAAGGGCUUGGCGGGAGAGGAAGAGAGAAGCUGAGUGUCGCGGAGGCUGAGAGGGAGGAGGGGGAGAUUGCUGCGCCACUGAUACAGAUUUAAAGUGACAGCCACAACGAAAUGUAGUACGGUGGAAAAAACAAUGGAGAAGGAGGCAGAAAAUGUGAGUUCUAGGACUGGAGCUACCGGUAACUAGAAGGUGACUUUGAACAAGUCAAUUGCCUGAUUUCAGUGAUUUCUGACUAUGAUUUCACUAAAAGCAACUGCAAGAAGAACUAUAUCAUCAACUAGCUAUAUCUUCUUUAAUUGAUUUUGGAAGGCACAAAGAAUAAGUUUCCAGAAAAAACAAGAACAUGAUCAUGGAUCUUUUUAAUACUAUCCCAUUGUUGUUUUCCAGUGGCCUCCUUGCCUUGAUAUUUAGCCCAUCAAAUCUCUGGGCACAAGGGACUGCUCUUUAUUCAAUCCUGUCAUAACUCUGCAAAACCUUCCCCUUCUGAUCUCCUCUCGGUUGUGAAUGAUCCCUGGAAAUACUUCGGGGAGUACUGGGAACUGACACCGGCAGAGCUGACCAAUGGGGCUAUGAGAAACCUUGUCCCAUUCUGGCUGAGGGUGCUGAAGUAGGAAGGCGUGUUGGAACUACUGAGAGCAGAGAACUCAACACACACAAAGAAUCCAAAAUUUGCUUUUACUCGGAGUCCUGAGAAGUUCUAAUUACACACUGUUCUAACAAGAACAAGCAGCAAAGAUGGCACAUAACUUACCCAACGUACCAGCAGUCUACCCAACUGUUCUCUGUCUUCAGGAACUCCUUUUCUCUGUUCAUUAUGUAUUCUUUAUUCAUUGAACUUUACGUGAAAAUAAACAUCCCAAGAUUCCCACAAUUGGUUCAACAUAAAUGAAUAAGAGGACUGACUUCAGCCAGGAGUUCUCAAAGACUGGUCUAAGAACCACCAGCAUUAGAAUUGUUACAAAAAAGCUGAUUUUAGGACCUCCUCCCAGACCAACUGAGUCAGAAUUCCUGAGCUGGGCACCAGAAAUCUGCUUGGUUAGGGAGCACUCCAUGUCACUCUGAUGCACGUGGAGCUGCAGAACCACUAGACUAAAUGAUUUAUAUAGUCCCUUCUGUUUCUGUCACUUGACACUAUUCUGAGUAAAUAUUUACCAAGGGCUGUGCCCCAAGGGGCUCGCAGUCUAUCUGAGGAGUUAGCAUGUAAUAAGAAUUGCAUGGUACCUUGAAUUCAUUCUCUUUAUCUUUUGUGCCUUUGUGAAAUGGUCGGUCAUAGCGGAAUUUCCAGAUGUGAUUCACUUUAUAGAAGCUUUUGAUGUUGUCCGGAACACCCUCUCUCUGCAGGACCUCCUGGCUCUCUGGAAUGGGAGUCACAGCAUAUAUCUGCAAAUCUAGGAUUCAAGAGUCAAGGAGAGAACCUGACUUGGCAAACUCCAUGGAAGUCUGGCUUGGGCUGAGCUAUGGCAGAGAGAAGAGGAUGGGUAACAAUCUUCUGUUUCCAUUUCAGUUGAAGUCAUUAAAAAAAUUACCAAGAAGACGCCAGGAACUCAGUUCUAGCAAAUCACUUCUCAAACUACAGGUCUUGAACUAGUUCUAGGUAGGUGAAGUAUCAGCUUGAAAUUUCCAUGACUUGAAAAUUUUCAUGACCUAUGAAUUUAGAUAUCACUAACUUGUGUGUGUGUAUGUGUGUGUAGGUAGAUGGGAAUGGUUUGGGCCUUAGAUACUCAGAAUUAGGAUAAUCCUAAUCCUUGUUCAUGAGACAUCUAUUAGUCUGUGCAUGACACAUUUAAAUUUAUUGUUUGCUUAUAAUAACAUGUAAAUACCUAUGCAACCAUGACCAAAGACAGAAACUAGAACACUGACGAUGACUUACAUUUAUCUGUGUGAUUAUCUGUGUCCCUAGCCUUCCCACAUCUGUGAUAACUGCUGUCCCAAAUCUUGUAUUCAUAUGCAGGGUGUUUAGUUAUAGUUUAUAUUUUUAAAAAUUACAUUAAAGGAGUAU
Molecule: long non-coding RNA, 2025 nt
Organism: Homo sapiens (human)
Lineage: Eukaryota; Metazoa; Chordata; Mammalia; Primates; Hominidae
Source: Ensembl